GCUACUUCCUGGCAUUUAACGGCACCAAGUACUUUAGUGUAAAUAUAAUUAUAGCCCUUGCUUUUGGGAGGCCUUUGCAGCCAACCUCUCCCACAUGGGAUCAACCGUAGACGGCGUGAGCCAUGUGGAGAUUCGGCCUCUGCUCAAGGUCAGUACAGACGGGGUCUGCCAGCCAUGAUUUUACCAACCUUUCAGUUAUUUCAGAAAACAAGAAGAGAACGUAACACAGGCAAGAGUGGAUCUAUGGGAUGGAAAUAAUGAGCCAUUUAUAACCCAAAACGAGACUGCCAGGAAAAACACGCAAAAAGGACAUUUUAUCAGAGGCCUUUGCUGCCUAAGACUAGUGGGCCACAAGGUACUGAGUGUUCGGCUCACCGGGCCAAGAGCUACAGUAAGGUGGCCUGUCCCUCCUGUCAGCCUGAUCAAGUGGCCUUAACCACCUGGUGGCGAAGAGCUUUUGUGCAGUCUGAGUGUGAGCAGGGUGGCCUUCUCACAUUUUUGAUAGAGACGCGGAGUCGCGUUGUGACACUUCACAAGUACAUACAGCUUACGCAAUUCCAGGAGCACCAGGGUCUGCCCAUCAGUGGUUUGUCCCCAACGUGCAGCUUAUAUAAUGAGCCAUCAGGCCCUCCAGGUUCUCCACCGAGCCUGUGAAAGAAUGUUCAGGCUCUGAACUUGGCCCUGGCUGCUGGGCAGUGCUUUGUCCCAAAGGUGUGUGGAAUGGCUUGGCUGUCAGCACCUGCUGGAGAGAUAGACAGAAGUGCCACAGGCUGAUCCUCUUGUGGCACCAGUGCAGAGGAGGCUGGUGACAGGUCCCAGAUGGCCAUGGCCUACCCUGAAGCACCCUGCAGGGAGGAAGAACGGAGACUGUCAAGCUAAGGCAGAGUGGGCCAGAAGCCUGAACAGAGGCCCCUUUGAAGGGUAACCAACACAAAGCGGACUUCCUCAAAGUUCCAGCCACAGCAGGAAUGCUGUCUGUGGUUUGGGCAAAGGUCUUUUGUCUGUUGACUGGAAAUUUGGCACUGUGCUGUCCUCCUAGGGCUUACCUGGAGCGAAGUUAUAAAGUAGGUCAAGUGUGUUCGGUGCUCUCUCACCUCCAGUCUCUGCCCUGCUGCCCGCCUCCCUGCUGGGCUCUGUUUGCACCCAGGCUCCCAUGCGCUCCACAUAGCUCUGAGCACCUGCUUCAUACCAGGUGCCGUGCCAAGUGCUAGGCACCCAGCAGGGCUUUCUCAACACCUGGUGGCCCCCUGUGGAGCACUGGGCUAGUCCUCCCUGGGCCUCCUCUCCUGUCACUCUCAGCCCCACCAUGUCCCCCAACUACCUCUCCGUCCAGUCACCACCUAUGGAUACUUUGCCUCUCAACCUUGGAGGUGGGACUGUUUCUUUAUAGUUCUCAUCAUAGUAAACUCACAGAUUGUCUUUAUAAAAGGAUUGCUCUUGGCGCUCAGGGAUACCUCUCAAGAAUCUCUGCACAUUGAAAAGUGAUGGUGUGGAAAACCCACACGUUCCAUAGAGUGGAGCAAGGCACCCGUUGGAAAAUUCAAGGCAGGAGGGGACAGGAACGUACCAUAUUGUCUGAACAGAGUUUUUGCAAUGCCACCAGGUAAACAAGUUGCCCUUUCACCUCUUCACUUAUUGGUGAGGAAUGUGGUCAUGGUUGAGUGGACAAAUUCUGGAGCUGGACUACCUGGGUUCAAAUCCCAUCUAUGCAAAUAGUGACCUAAGAAAGCUACUUGAUCUUUGCUCCUUGUUUUGCUCAUAUGACAAGAGAGAUGGUAGAAAUAAUCUAAGUGCAUCCCACAGAAUGGUGUGGGGAUUACCAUAAAUUAUUAUGUAUGAAAUCUUUGUAAUACUGGCAUGCAUAGUAAGCACUCUAUAAAUAUUAAAGUUCAUUUUUCAUGAAGCCAACUCAAUGCUUUCUACUUUGCAGUCAGAUUUUUGUGAUAGUCAUAUUCAAAAGAGGCAACUUGUUAUUCAGAUUACAAUUUCCUCAUCUGCAAAAUAGGAAGUAGUGAGUGAAGGAGGAUGUGGGAGCAGAGGAUCAGUCAGGUGACCACAUUCUGGUCUAUGAUCUCCACUAGCUCCGUGACCUUGAGCAACUAGCUGAACCUCUCUUCAUCCCAGAGAUUGAAUUUGGUCUGCCUCUCCCAGACUCAGGCCAUUCGAAUGACACCUGCAGACUCUUUGCCAUGUCCCUGUUCCACAUCUUCUAUACAGCUACUUACUUAAUACUUUCCUUUAGAUAAUCUUUAAAUCUUUUUGGUAACCUCAAAGUAAGCAGUAAUAUUCAUGUACACAAGGGCUUGAUAUGCUAGGUCUAGAUUUUUCUAAUGCAUGUUAAAAUAAAUGCCUAAUGAAAUUUUAAGCUGUUUAUAUUCAAAUCAUCUUUCAUGCCAUCAAUGAUGUUUACACACUAUUUUAGGAAACUCUGGUUUAAAUGUUUGCUGUGAAUCCAGCCAGCUCUAAAAUCCUCUCUGUACUGUUACAUAAUUUUCAUGUGGCUAUUUAACUUUGAAUGUGUUUCUUAUUCUCUCUCUCUCUCUCUCUCUCUCUCUCUCUUUCUUGCACUCUCGAGGGCAUAGAUCGUGGCUUCUAAUUCUUUAGGCUCAUAGCAGAGUAGUUUAUAAGUCAUUUAAUUUUAAAUUAUAAAUACAGCAUAAUUAUAUACACGUGUGUGUAUGAGUGUGUGUGUGUGUGUGUGUGUGUGGUGAUAUAUCACCCACUGACCCCUAGACCCAAACCUAAAUGCACAUCUCUUUGCACAUGAGUGUUGCUGUUUUCCUGGGGUGGUAGUUCACUAAAUGAGGGGAAGCCAUGAGUGGGCACUCAGGAAAUGUUGCUUUCCUUGACUUCCUCCCCUUUCCUGUGCCCCUUUGUUGGUGAAAAUUUUUUUGUCCAUAUGAAAAGCAAGCCUACUUCCUAAAGAAUGUGUAGCCCAAGUUAUUGUGGGGCCAGAAUAACUGUCCUCAACCCUAAAAGAAAUUCCAUUCCCAGAUCCAGAAAGGAUCUAAGAAAGGAAGGAAUUAAAUUUCUAAAUAUCCAAGAGGUCUGGAGAAAUUGUCUGGUAAUUUACUCAGAGCUCAUCAGCAAAAAUGUAUGGCACACCGUAGUCUCAUGACACCAUUCUAGGUUCACAGCCUGAACCCCUUCUCAAUCAACCAGGGUUUGUUCAGUGACUUCCUGAGUGAUUUUUGUGCCAAUAACCUUGGAAGACCCAGUUCUGAAUAAGAUCAUCAGACUGGGAAGAGACUUCUAGAAGAUUGUGAGCGUCCCAGAAGCAAG
RNAcentral lists this long non-coding RNA (3282 nucleotides) under Marmota monax (woodchuck). The record is from RNAcentral. Lineage: Eukaryota; Metazoa; Chordata; Mammalia; Rodentia; Sciuridae.